RNAcentral lists this long non-coding RNA (826 nucleotides) under Homo sapiens (human). RNAcentral describes it as "HSALNT0311606". Lineage: Eukaryota; Metazoa; Chordata; Mammalia; Primates; Hominidae. The record is from RNAcentral.
UGUCCCAUGGUAUGAAUAUGUGAUUAUCCAUCUGUGAAGAGAGAAUAGAGGAUUAAAAAAAAGGGAAAAAGAAGGGUAAUCUAUUCUGUGCCUGUAGCCUGGGACCAGCCUUCAUCUCUGUCCGAUGAGAAGCCUGUGUCUGUACCAGUUCAGCCAACUGCCAGAAUGGAAUGGACUUCUUUCCCUUCAAAUAUGACCUUGAAGGUCUGGAUGCAUAUUGGCAAGGGCAUGGAAGUGAUUCAAGAAAUGGAGGAAAACGUGUAUGUGAGAUUCCUCGUCCUCCUCCCUAACCAUCACCUGAUGGUUGCCUGACAUUCCUUGGCAGGGGUGAGGGGGUCUCCUGCCCUGCUCAUGUCUGCCUAGCUACCUGCAAUAAGAGACUGACAGCUUCAGGGUGGGGCUGGUCACCAUAGACAGAGGCAUGAUUAGAGGGUUGGGACUUAGCUCCACCACCAACCUACCAAGAGGGGAGAGAAGCUGAAGGUUAAGUUGAUCACCAAUGGCCAAUGACUUAAUCAAUCAUGCUUAUAUAAUGAAGCCUCCAUAAAAACCCAAGUGGCCUGGGUUCACAGAGUUUCCAUACCACGUGGAGGUUCCUGGGGGGUGGUAUGCCCAGGGAGAGCAUGGAAGCUCUGGCGCCCCUUCCCCCAUACCUUGCCCUGUGUAUCGUCUCUUUAUCUGUAUCCUUUGUAAUAUCCUUUUAAUAAACUGGUAAAUGUGUUUCCCUGAGUUCUGUGAGGUGCUUCAGUAAACCAAUCAAACCCAAAGAGGAGGUCUUGGGAACCCCAACUCAAAGCUGGUCAGUCAAAAGUUCUGGAGGGCCGGA